Long non-coding RNA from Spea bombifrons (plains spadefoot toad), 288 nucleotides. RefSeq lists it as uncharacterized. NCBI's taxonomy places the organism in Eukaryota, Metazoa, Chordata, Amphibia, Anura, Pelobatidae. The transcript is spliced from 2 exons. The record is from RefSeq and is a predicted model, not a curated record.
CUUUCUCUCCCCUCCCUAACUGCAGACUGCAGGAGAGACUGAGAAUAGACAUCAAUCUGAGCCCGGGCAGCGGCGGGACAGCCGGGGAGUAGGAGGUCGCCUGUGUGAAAUCUGACAGCGAGUCCCUUCGCCCACCCCACUCCUCCGCUAGCGCUGGAAACAAAAGCCUUGCAGCAUGGGGAAUGACACUGGCAUCCACGCGUGCUGACGGGCACCUGAAGCCAUGUACCACCUAGCAAGACAGCGGGUCUGAUUUUUGUAUUGGUACGCUUGGACAAAAGGCUUUUU